UACGUAGGGAGCAAGCGUUGUCCGGAAUCAUUGGGCGUAAAGCGCGCGUAGGCGGUCAGGUAAGUCCGGUGUGAAAGUCAAAGGCUCAACCUUUGAAUGCCGCUGGAUACUGCUUGACUUGAGUCCGGAAGGGGCGAGUGGAAUUCCUGGUGUAGCGGUGAAAUGCGCAGAUAUCAGGAGGAACACCAAUGGCGAAGGCAGCUCGCUGGAACGGUACUGACGCUGAGGCGCGAAAGCGUGGGGAGCGAACAGG
This 253-nucleotide ribosomal RNA is filed under the name uncultured bacterium. Its description in RNAcentral is "partial 16S ribosomal RNA". It matches the Rfam family "Bacterial small subunit ribosomal RNA", at positions 524 to 776 of the family's 1533-position model. The record is from RNAcentral.